This 395-nucleotide ribosomal RNA is filed under the name uncultured bacterium. RNAcentral describes it as "bacterial SSU rRNA". It matches the Rfam family "Bacterial small subunit ribosomal RNA", at positions 28 to 428 of the family's 1533-position model. The record is from RNAcentral.
GACGAACGCUGGCGGCGUGCUUAACACAUGCAAGUCGAGCGGUAAGGCCCUUUCGGGGGUACACGAGCGGCGAACGGGUGAGUAACACGUGGGUGACCUGCCCUCAGCUCUGGGAUAAGCCUGGGAAACUGGGUCUAAUACCGGAUAUGACUCCAUGACGCAUGUUGUGGGGUGGAAAGCCUUGUGCGGCUGAGGAUGGGCCCGCGGCCUAUCAGCUUGUUGGUGGGGUGANGGCCUACCAAGGCGACGACGGGUAGCCGGCCUGAGAGGGCGACCGGCCACACUGGGACUGAGACACGGCCCAGACUCCUACGGGAGGCAGCAGUGGGGAAUCUUGCGCAAUGGGCGAAAGCCUGACGCAGCGACGCCGCGUGAGGGAUGACGGCCUGGUGUAA